RNAcentral lists this ribosomal RNA (460 nucleotides) under uncultured bacterium. RNAcentral describes it as "partial 16S ribosomal RNA". It matches the Rfam family "Bacterial small subunit ribosomal RNA", at positions 338 to 795 of the family's 1533-position model. The record is from RNAcentral.
CCUACGGGUGACAGCAGUGAGGAAUAUUGGUCAAUGGACGAAAGUCUGAACCAGCCAAGUAGCGUGAAGGAUGACUGCCCUAUGGGUUGUAAACUGCUUUUAUACGGGAAUAAAACGCUUCACGUGUGUGGUUUUGUAUGUACCGUAUGAAUAAGGACCGGCUAAUUCCGUGCCAGCAGCCGCGGUAAUACGGAGGGUCCGGGCGUUAUCCGGAUUUAUUGGGUUUAAAGGGAGCGUAGGUCGAAUGUUAAGCGUGUUGUGAAAUGUCGGGGCUCAACCCUGGAAUUGCAGUGCGAACUGGCGGGCUGGAGUACGCGGAAGGUAGGCGGAAUUCGUGGUGUAGCGGUGAAAUGCUUAGAUAUCACGAAGAACUCCGAUUGCGAAGGCAGCUUACUGCAGUGCAACUGACGCUGAGGCUCGAAAGUGUGGGUAUCGAACAGGAUUAGAUACCCGAGUAGUC